Molecule: non-coding RNA, 80 nt
Organism: Mycena alexandri
Lineage: Eukaryota; Fungi; Basidiomycota; Agaricomycetes; Agaricales; Mycenaceae
Source: the annotation of a GenBank genome assembly
GUGCUCUUGGUGUAACGGUAACACAACUCACUGCUCUUUCGGGUGUCGAGUGGUCCUGGGUUCGACUCCCGGGGGGCGCC